RNAcentral lists this ribosomal RNA (482 nucleotides) under uncultured bacterium. Its description in RNAcentral is "partial 16S ribosomal RNA". It matches the Rfam family "Bacterial small subunit ribosomal RNA", at positions 30 to 507 of the family's 1533-position model. The record is from RNAcentral.
AUUGAACGCUGGCGGCAUGCUUUACACAUGCAAGUCGAACGGUAACAGGCCGCAAGGUGCUGACGAGUGGCGAACGGGUGAGUAAUGCAUCGGAACGUGCCCAGUCGUUGGGGAUAACUACUCGAAAGAGUAGCUAAUACCGCAUACGAUCUAUGGAUGAAAGCGGGGGACCGUAAGGCCUCGCGCGAUUGGUGCGGCCGAUGUCUGAUUAGGUAGUUGGUGGGGUAAAGGCUCACCAAGCCAACGAUCUGUAGCUGUUCUGAGAGGGCGACGAGCCACAUUGGGAGGGAGCAACGGCCCAGACUCCUACGGGAGGACGCAGUGGGGAAUUUUAGACAAUGGGGGAAAGCCUGAUACAGCAAUGCCGCGUGAAGGCAGAAGGCCUUCGGGUUGGAAAGUGCUUUUGUCCGGAACGAAACGGCUCUGGUUAAUACCCGGGGAUAAUGACGGUACCGGAAGAAUAAGCACCGGCUAACUACGUG